This 494-nucleotide ribosomal RNA is filed under the name uncultured bacterium. Its description in RNAcentral is "partial 16S ribosomal RNA". It matches the Rfam family "Bacterial small subunit ribosomal RNA", at positions 28 to 504 of the family's 1533-position model. The record is from RNAcentral.
GAUGAACGCUGGCGGCGUGCCUAAUACAUGCAAGUCGAGCGAACAGACGAGGAGCUUGCUCCUCUGACGUUAGCGGCGGACGGGUGAGUAACACGUGGAUAACCUACCUAUAAGACUGGGAUAACUUCGGGAAACCGGAGCUAAUACCGGAUAAUAUAUUGAACCGCAUGGUUCAAUAGUGAAAGACGGUUUUGCUGUCACUUAUAGAUGGAUCCGCGCCGCAUUAGCUAGUUGGUAAGGUAACGGCUUACCAAGGCAACGAUGCGUAGCCGACCUGAGAGGGUGAUCGGCCACACUGGAACUGAGACACGGUCCAGACUCCUACGGGAGGCAGCAGUAGGGAAUCUUCCGCAAUGGGCGAAAGCUUGACGGAGCAGCGCCGCGUGAGUGAUGAAGGUCUUCGGAUCGUAAAACUCUGUUAUUAGGGAAGAACAAAUGUGUAAGUAACUAUGCACGUCUUGGCGGUACCUAAUCAGAAAGCCACGGCUAACUAC